GACGAACGCUGGCGGCGUGCUUAACACAUGCAAGUCGAACGAUGAAGCCCAGCUUGCUGGGUGGAUUAGUGGCGAACGGGUGAGUAACACGUGGCCAACCUGCCCCAAACUCUGGGAUAACUCCUCGAAAGAGGUGCUAAUACCGGAUACGAACUAGACAGACAUCUGUACUAGUUGGAAAGUUUGUCGGUCUGGGAUGGGCCCGCGGCCUAUCAGCUUGUUGGUGAGGUAACGGCUCACCAAGGGUACGACGGGUAACCGGCCUGAGAGGGCGACCGGUCACAAUGGUACUGAGACACGGCCCAGACUCCUACGGGGGGCAGCAGUGGGGAAUAUUGCGCAAUGGGCGAAAGCCUGACGCAGCGACGCCGCGUGAGGGAUGAAGGUCUUCGGAUCGUAAACCUCUUUCAGUAGGGACGAAGCGAAAGUGACGGUACCUAAAGAAGAAGCACCGGCUAACUACGUGCCAGCCGCCGCCGUAA
Molecule: ribosomal RNA, 482 nt
Filed under: uncultured bacterium
Lineage: Bacteria
Description: partial 16S ribosomal RNA
Rfam family: Bacterial small subunit ribosomal RNA
Source: RNAcentral